CUCUUUUUGUCAAUUAUAUUUGGCUCUCCUCAUCCAUGCUUGACCAAAAUGUAAGAUCAAAAGCUUUUAUAUUUCUGUUACAUCUCAUUAUGAACUUAAAACGCAAAAUGGAGAAAUCAGAAUAUUUUUAUUGCACAGUUGAAAGUACAUCUCAUUUACAUUUGUAGCCUAUAUAUCUAACGCUUAACAGAAUAUGGUAUUUGGUAGAACAAGAAAACAUUUAAAUAAAAGAGCUUUAAAAUAGUCGUAUUAUUAUAUAAUUAACCUCACCAAUAAUGUUGGCUAAAUACUUUUGUGUUCAUUGGUCCGUUUAUUAUUUUUCAUAUAUUUUGUUUGGUCUCUGGCGUCCUGUCAAGGACAACAUAUCAACUCAUUUGAAAAACAUGUUCCCAUCACUUACAUUUAUGAGAACGCAUUCAGCAAUUAUUGCUCCAUGGAUUUUGUAUUCAUUUCAUUAUUUUCGUUGAGCCUAAAUGCUUGUUUAAGGACCAAGGGAAACAAAGUUUGUUCAGUCGGUUAUAAUGCAUCUGAAUACAACAACAAUAAGCUAUAGCUCCGACCGCUUCCCCCUGCUUCAUCACGUGUUGUCCAGACGUUUGUCAUUUUGACUGUUGGU
Long non-coding RNA from Gadus macrocephalus (Pacific cod), 616 nucleotides. RefSeq lists it as uncharacterized. The record is from RefSeq and is a predicted model, not a curated record. Lineage: Eukaryota; Metazoa; Chordata; Actinopteri; Gadiformes; Gadidae. The transcript is spliced from 2 exons.